Molecule: unclassified non-coding RNA, 329 nt
Filed under: soil metagenome
Description: partial contains 5.8S ribosomal RNA, internal transcribed spacer 2, and large subunit ribosomal RNA
Rfam family: 5.8S ribosomal RNA (bases 1-120)
Source: RNAcentral
GAUGAAGAACGUAGCGAAAUGCGAUAAGUAGUGUGAAUUGCAGAAUUCAGUGAAUCAUCGAAUCUUUGAACGCACAUUGCGCCCCUUGGUAUCCCGAGGGGCAUGCCUGUUCGAGCGUCAUUUCACCACUCAAGCCUGGCUUGGUGUUGGGCGACGUCCCCUUUGGGGACGCGCCUCGAAACGCUCGGCGGCGUGGCACCGGCUUUAAGCGUAGCAGAAUCUUUCGCUUUGGAAGUCGGGGCCCCGUCUGCCGGAAGACCUACUCGCAAGGUUGACCUCGGAUCAGGCAGGGAUACCCGCUGAACUUAAGCAUAUCAAGAAGCGGAGGA